Molecule: transfer RNA, 72 nt
Filed under: Heterocephalus glaber (naked mole-rat)
Lineage: Eukaryota; Metazoa; Chordata; Mammalia; Rodentia; Bathyergidae
Rfam family: tRNA
About the family: Transfer RNA (tRNA) molecules are approximately 80 nucleotides in length. Their secondary structure includes four short double-helical elements and three loops (D, anti-codon, and T loops). Further hydrogen bonds mediate the characteristic L-shaped molecular structure. tRNAs have two regions of fundamental functional importance: the anti-codon, which is responsible for specific mRNA codon recognition, and the 3' end, to which the tRNAs corresponding amino acid is attached (by aminoacyl-tRNA synthetases). tRNAs cope with the degeneracy of the genetic code in two manners: having more than one tRNA (with a specific anti-codon) for a particular amino acid; and 'wobble' base-pairing, i.e. permitting non-standard base-pairing at the 3rd anti-codon position.
Source: Rfam by way of RNAcentral
GAUGGUAUAGCUUCAUAAUAGAGCACAUGCUUAGCAUGCAUGAAGCCCUGGGUUCAACUCCCAGCACCAAUU